GUGGAGGUAGGAAAAAUUCUAAAAUACAACGGAAAUAUUGAUGACGUAGCGUAAUAAAUUAAUUAAAUAUUUUUUUUAAAAAAAAAUAUGUCUUAUCAUAAUAAUAAAAAAAUAUUUUUAUUGUAUUUUUGUUUGAAAAGAUGAAAUAUGAUUGGUUUGUCAUUAAUGACGUGUUGUAAGUGUGAUAGUGUAGAAUUUUUUUCGGAGGAGAACCGCCUACGAGCGUCUUUCCGCUAAUUCUAAUUCUAUACAU
Molecule: long non-coding RNA, 253 nt
Filed under: Ananas comosus (pineapple)
Lineage: Eukaryota; Viridiplantae; Streptophyta; Magnoliopsida; Poales; Bromeliaceae
Description: long non-coding RNA (ACOM_LNC004667)
Source: RNAcentral